This 584-nucleotide long non-coding RNA is filed under the name Taeniopygia guttata (zebra finch). RNAcentral's name for it is "lncRNA (ENSTGUG00000026092.1)". Lineage: Eukaryota; Metazoa; Chordata; Aves; Passeriformes; Estrildidae. The record is from RNAcentral.
CCAAAAUCCAUCCCAAACCCCCCCAAAAUCCAUCCCAAACACCCCCAAAUCCACCCAAACCCUCCUGAAAACCCCCGGAAAUGCACCCAAAAUCCUCCCAAAACCCCCCAAAAUGCCCCCAAAUCCCCCCAAAUCCCCCCAAAUCCCCCCCCCGACCCCCUGACCUCCUUUGGGGGCUCUCCAGGGCCGCUCCCGGCGCAGGAGCCCCGAGGCGGCCGCCAGCCCCCCCAAAUCGGCCACGCGGACCUCGGCCACCAACUCCAGCUCCUCGUCUUCGGGGGACCCCUCCCCGCUGCAGCGCUGCAGCCGGGGGGGCUUGUGGGGGGGGUCUGGGGACAGAGGGGACACGGUCAGAGGGGGGGGACAGCGGGGACACCCCAGGGGACACCAGGUGACAUUGGGGACAACCCAGGGGACAUUUGGGGACACCCCAGGGGACACCAGGGGACAUUGGGGACACCCCCAGGUGACAUCAGGGACACCCCCAGGUGACAUCGGGGACACCCCAGGUGACAUCGGGGACACCCACAGGUGACAUUUGGGACCCCCCAGGUGACAUUGGGGACACCCACAGAUGACAUUUG